GUGGUGCAGGUGACGAACGAGCAGCACUCGCUCCCAGGGUGGCCCUCUGCUGACGCAGCCCCUGCCCAGCCGACGACGACCCCACAGGUGACACCUGGGUGUGCCAGCACCUGUCCCACUACCGCCGCCUGAGGAGGCAGCCUCACAGGGGCAAGGGCCCUGCCCCCCAUCCUGUGCCCGGAGCGCUGUCCCCAGCCGUCCUACUCCGGGGCCAGGCCGUGGGAAUUUGAACCAAGGAUGAGAUCAGGCCGCCAGAAGCCAAGGCCGGCAUAAGCCGGCAGCUUUAAUGGGGUGCUCUGUCUUCCCCUGGCGGUUGCAUCUCCUGGGGAUGACUCUGGAAGACGCCGAGUCAGCACCGGGUGGGGCGGGGGCCACAGCAGACCAGCAGCCAGCACUCUGCAUGGUGGCCUCAGGGCCUGCGAGCUUCCACCCGGGGGACACCACGGCUGGAGGGCAGCGUCCCCGCAUGCUCCCCUCUUCUGUGCUGCUCUCCCCAGAGCACCCAGGGUGGGAAGACUCUCCUGCUCAUCCCGGGCACAGUGGCGUGCUGCCGUUGGCACUGAGGUCCCAGCCCAGCCCGAGACAUGCAUCCUCUGCUCUGGGGCCGGAGCUCCUGCAGCCCGUGCUGCCCUCCAGCUGCCGCCCGGGGCUCCUCCAACCUGGGGGGCCGAGGCCCCGUCACCCUGCAAGCCCUUGGUCACAGUCUCUUAGGAAUUUAGGAAGCAUGAACUGCCAUGGUCCAGAGGAAAGGGGUUUGCUGACAGGCCAGCACUGGGGGCGCAUUUUAAUCCGCCCCACCCAGGGGGUGCCCCCACCUUCCUCAACCUUCAUCAGCUGUUGAGGUCAGAGACGUAUUAGAUCUGCUCUUCCCUGCAGGGAGGCAGGCACACUUGUCUCUGGAGCUUCUAUUCCCAUAAACCAACCCUUCAUUUCUCAUGUGAAUCCACUUUAAUUACAAAGCUAAAUAAUGAGAAGGAAAUAUUAAAAUUAAAAAAAAAAAAAGAAACCCUACACAAAGCGAGUUUGCUUGUGCCGGCCACUGGCUCUGAGAGCCAAGGCACAGAGCGGGGAUGGCACCACGCCAGUCACUAAAAGCAUGAGUGUCACUAAAUCAAUAAUUCAUUUACUUUAAUGAGAUAAGUACUUUGAAAACUAAUUGCAAACCUGCUCCAUUUACUCCGACCCGUUAUAGCCCUUAAUGUAAAUCGCAGAACCAUCGCUGUGGGAAGGAGAAAGUCUUUAGGUGGAAGACACCAUGUCAUCUCCCCUCCUUCCCCUCCUAAGAAAGAAAAAAGUUCUCUACGGGGGGGGGGGAAGGUGGGGGAAUGUGGGGACCCCAGGGCUCUGUCCCUCUGCCUGCCCAGCGCCACACCUCCAGCCUCAGAGGUGAUUUGGUGCUUCCACUGUGAGACGGGGAAUCAUCAGGAAGACACGACACCAGCAACACCAGACGCUGGGAAACGACUGUCCCGGGGCCUCCGGAGACACUCAGCCCUUGGGUGCUCCACGCAGCUUCUCCUCAGAGCCCUGAGCCUCCGGAGGAGCACCCAGUUCCAGAUAAACCAACGCAGGGUGUCAUUGUCAGCUCAUGCUCGGCAAGUGAAAUCCUGGGGGUCGCCGGUGCGGCCGCCCCAGCCUGCACACGGGGGACUGGGGCUGCGGGGUCACACGCGAAGCCCGAGCACAGCUGCCUGCGCCACCGGCAGGGCCCUGUGGUGAUCAUCGACCUCGGGGCGGGGGUGGGUUGGCUGAGGAGCCAGAGAACCCACGAGGUCAGGGAGAGAGGCCCGAGCUCUCCUCUGUCCUUGGCUAGUGUUUUGGGCAAAGAAAAGCAGGGAAGGUGCAUUUUUCAGCUUCUUACAUGGGAGAGUUCUGAAUCCUCUUUU
RNAcentral lists this long non-coding RNA (1886 nucleotides) under Canis lupus familiaris (dog). RNAcentral's name for it is "lncRNA (ENSCAFG00845014051.1)". Lineage: Eukaryota; Metazoa; Chordata; Mammalia; Carnivora; Canidae. The record is from RNAcentral.